GGAUGUGAGGGCGAUCUGGCUACGACAUCUGUCACCCCAUUGAUCGCCAGGGUUGAUUCGGCUGAUCUGGCUGGCUAGGCGGGUGUCCCCUUCCUUUCUCACUGUUUCAUGUGCAUCCCUCCGGAAGAUGGCCUUCCCCAAGUAGAGACAGACCGGUCUUCGGUCAAGGGUAUAUGAGUAGCUGUGCUUGCCUGCUAGAACCUCCAAACAAACUCUCAAAUGUGGAUGGUUUCACUCCUAUGUUUAGUUUAGUUUAGAGAUCUGAUACACAUGAACUUGCAAAAAACAAAAACU
Molecule: small nuclear RNA, 294 nt
Filed under: Erinaceus europaeus (western European hedgehog)
Lineage: Eukaryota; Metazoa; Chordata; Mammalia; Eulipotyphla; Erinaceidae
Description: 7SK RNA
Rfam family: 7SK RNA
About the family: 7SK was discovered as an abundant small nuclear RNA in the mid-70s but a possible function has only recently been suggested. Two independent studies have found that 7SK RNA binds the CDK9/cyclin T complex (known as elongation factor P-TEFb).
Source: Rfam by way of RNAcentral